UAGAGGUCUCACUAGGCAUAAAUCGCUAUUACAACAAUCUGAGUCAGAAUAGUCAAAAGAUGCAUAGCAUUCCUACAGCCUGCUGUGUACCUAAUCUACAAUCAAGCUCAGUGCCAUCCGCCAUCUAGUGAAAGCACAUGGUCGCACAAGCUUACUGCACUUCAAGUGAAUGUUCUUCUUAAAGAGACAGUACAAUUUUUUUUGCUAAACCGUAAAAAAUGUCUAGACAAGGCUCUGAACACUUUUUUAUGGCUGAAUCAAUGUAGAUACAUCAUGCCUCUGAACCGGCAGGCGUACAGGGAGCAGAUUCUGCAGAUAUUACCGAAUAGAGUGUAAGAACCAAACGUACAAUAAAACCAACACAGAAACUCAGUGAAAACUAUCAAGCCACUAGAGAUGAGUUCUCCAGUAAUCUGUCAGACCACUGGGACAGAACCUCACACCGCAUGUCAGUUUUGUCACACUCUAAUGAUCAACCAGCUGAAAUAAGAGACUCUAUAAAUCACCUAUUUACUGUGUAUGUACACUACCAGCAGCUGUCAGCAAAAUACCCAGUCUUCUUGCAGGACUCUAAUAUAGGGUAUUCUUCAGCAGAACUGACUAGGACUGAUGCACUGAACCAAUAAAGGGAUCUCGCAGUGCAAAAUGCUAAGCUUAAGGCAGAACUCCGCAUUACUCAACUGCAGGAGAUCAGAUCUCACAGAUCCACCACAACCAAGCGCACUGCACUUUCUUUCAGAUGCUCUCGUUCCAGAAGAUCAGCAUUAAGCGACAAGUUAAUAGAGGCCCGUGCUGAUGCCGAAUCAAACAAGGCGCAAAGCUGCUUUACCAGAAAGCAAGCAGAGAUGGAAGCUCAGAGGGCAGCUCAACAAGUCAAGAUGGAAGCUCAAAGCAAAGCUCUCCAAGCAGAGGCAGAUUCACAAAUAAAGAUUCUGCAAAUGGAAGGGGAGGAAGCAGUUUCCCUAGCAAGGCUGAAAGUCCUUGAACAAGCAAUGGGACAAAGUACUAAUUUAAACUGCCUUAUCCAGCAAAACUGGAAGAGCACCAACAGUGAAUACGUUCUUAAGCAUAAAAUCUGCAAAGAUACAGUUAUCUCCUGUACCUCCAACUAACAAUACUGUUCUGACUCCCAACACAGAGACCUCUCAGCUCUAUAUGCCUGAGCCUCUUCAAGUCAACAAAGCAAGUACAUCUAUGCAGCAAACCGGAUCAACUCAUGUCAACAACAAGGUGACUUCCAGUGAUAGGCCGCAGCUCAAACCAAAGCCAGCACAAGCCUUAGAGACUACACCACAAACUACACCACAGUUAUAUGCUCAUGCAACAUCACUGUACCCUGGUAAACCUCACCCUACAUCACCAGAGAACUUUCACAACCAAGGGGUUCCACAAGUUACUUUGACACCAAGGAGUGAGAGACCAGACAUGAAUGACUUUGCCAGAUACAUGGUACUCCGUGAGCUCAUUAACACCAGCCUCUCAAGGUUUGAUGACUGUCCAGAGAGCUACAGGGCCUGGAGAUCAACCUUCAAGGCUACUAUUGCCGAUCUCAACCUUACUGCUAAGGAAGAACUUGAUUUGCUUAUAAAGUGGCUGGGACCAGAAUCUGCAGGUCGUGUUAAAAGACACAGAACAGUACAUGUUGACCACCCAGAUGCACGUCUUGUUGCUGCAUGGGCAAGACUUGAGCAAGCCUAUGGUAGGUCCGAAGCCAUAAAAAGCGCUCUAUUCAAGAGACUGCAAAACUUCCCAAAAAUAGGGAACAAAGACUACUGCAAGCUCCAAGAUCUGAGUGACCUCCUCAUGAAGCUAGAGUUGGCAAAGACUGACCCACGUCUACCUGGACUAAGCUUCCUGGACGCCGCUCAUGGUGUCAACCCAGUGGUGUCUAAACUGCCAUAUGGCCUACAAGAGAAAUGGGCACAAUAGGGCUCAAGAUACAAAAGAGACUAUAAUGUAUCCUUGUCUCAAUUCUCAUACUAUUGCAGGUUCAUUAGUGAUCAAGCCUGGAUGAGAAACGAUCCCAGCUUCAGCGAACCCAACCUGCCUGCUUCAUCCUCACCAUCAUCAAGGUAUGAUAAUACAGCAGCUAAACGUAGAGACUUAAAUAGAGCAAUAUCUGUUAAAAGGACAGACAUCUCACCCUUUGCAACCUCACCUAUUGAUCAGGGCAUUGUAGAUGACAGAGAUAAAGACCCUAAUCGUCAGUGUCCUAUUCACAAGAAGCCUCACCCUCUUAAGAAAUGUCGUGGGCUUAGGGCAAAGACUUUACAAGAGCGUAGGGAGAUUCUCUGGAAACUUGGCAUAUGCUACAAGUGCUAUGCUUCUUAUAGCUAUUUUGCUAAAGACUAUAAAGUUGUCAUCAAGUGCACAGAAUGCAGUAGCGACAGACAUGUUACACCCAUGCAUCCUACUCCACUUCCAGACAACCUACAACAGCUUCCUACCUCCACUCCCAUCUCAAAUCAUGGCGGGGAGCAACAAGGUCAUGCUCCAACCAAAGAUAAUGUCUCUUCUUCAUGUACAGAAGUCUGUGAAAAAGGCAAGGAAUACAAAUGCUGUGCCAAGAUAUGCCUAGUCAAGAUAUACCAAAGGGAUCAUCCUGAGAAAGCUGCUAGGAUGUAUGCCAUAAUAGAUAAACAGAGCAACAGAUCCCUGGUUAAGCCUAAAUUCUUUGAGAUCUUUGGCAUAGAGGGUCACACAACACCAUAUACUCUCAUAACCUGUUCUGGUCGUGUAGAGACCUUUGGCAGAAGGGUUGAUGGAUUCAUGGUCUCUCAUAUCAACAAGGAAGGGGGCAUACCCCCACCAACGUUAGUUGAGUGCGACCAGAUACCAGACAAAAGGGAAGAGAUUCCCACUCCAGAAGCUGUGUAUCAACAUCCUCAUUUAAUGCACCUUGUAGAUGAGAUUCCUGCAAUGGACAAGAGAGCUGAAAUCUUAGUCCUGUUAGGAAGGGACAUUCUCAGAGUACAUAAAGUACGCGAUCAGUCGAUGGGCCUGACAACACCCCUUAUGCACAAAGACUUGACCUAAGCUGGGUGAUAGUGGGUGAUGUAUGCUUGAAUAGGAUGUGUACGCCAUCUGAGAUCCACUCCUUCAAGACUUGCUUGUUGAGAAACGGACGUGCAUCCCACUUCAAACAGUGCCCUCACCAUUAUGAAGUAAAGGAGAAGCUUCUUGACAUCAUCCAAAUACCUGAUGUUACUCCCAUCCUUUGUGAUGACAACCUAGGUACCACAGUGUUUUGUACUACAAAUGAGGACAACAAAAUAGCCUUGUCAGUUGAAGACAGAGAAUUCAUCAAAUCGAUAAGGAAUUCUUUCAGGAUGAGUCUAACAGUUGGGUUGCACCAGUACCUUUUCGUGCUACAAGGGCCAAACUCCCAACCAAUUGUGAAUAGGCUUUAUCCAGAUUAAACUCACUUCAACGAACAGUAAGGAACAGGCCUGAACCAGCGCCACCACUUCAAAGACACGAUGAGUGCUGGUAUCUGCCUUUCUUCGGAGUGUAUCAUCCACGUAAGCCAAAACAAAUCAGGAUAGUAUUUGACUCCAGUGCCAAGCAUCAAGGUGUAUCCCUAAACAAUGUUCUUUUCACUGGCCCGAAUCUAACCAACAACCUUGUUGGCGUACUUAUGAGAUUUAGAAGAGAACCAGUUGCCAUAACUGCUGAUAUUGAACAGAUGUUUCAUUGCUUCAUUGUACGUAAAGACCAUAGGAACUUCCUAAGGGUUCUGUGGCACCGUGACAACAACAUGGACAAUGAGAUUAUUAAAUACUGCAUGAAAGUACAUGUUUUCGGAAAUAGUCCCUCACCCGCUGUUGCAACAUAUGGUUUACAAAGGACUGCCGUUGAUGGAGAAAAGGAGUAUGGCGCGGAUGCUAGACACUGUUGAGAAAGACUUUUAUGUUGACGAUGGACUUAAGUCUUUACCUACAGACAAAGAAGCCAUAGACCUGUUCCAAAGGACACAAAGUAUGCUUUCUGGCUUUCUGAGGCCAACCUCAGACUACACAAAAUUGCCUCAAAUAGUGCUGUUAUGAAAGCCUUUCAACCUGGUGAUCAUGCCACAGGGUUUAAGGACUUAAAUCUGGGAAUGGACAUGCCACCUAUACAGAGAAGUCUGGGCCUCCGGUGGGACUUAUUAAAGGACACUUUCAGCUUUCAAGUCAGCUCUACAGACAAGCCAUUUACCAAGCGUGGGUUCUGUCAGUGGUAAACAGCCUAUACGAUCCAAUGGGAUUUGUGGCUCCCAUCACCAUACAAGGUAAAGCCUUACUUAGACAGCUCUCAGAGUCUAUUAAAGAUUGGGAUGCUCCACUGCCAUCUGACAAGCUUUCAAAGUGGGAGUCCUGGAAGCAAUCUCUACACGCCUUAGAUGGAAUCCAUAUAUCACGCUGCUACACCUCAGCUUCCCUUGCUACGAGCCGGAGAAAAGAGCUUCACAUCUUCUCAGACGCAUCUACUGAGGCCAUUGCGGCUGUUGCCUACCUCAAGAAUAAAGCAACUUACACGGAUAAACUCAGUGUUGGAAAUCGCUGCUUUCUUUUUCACACCCAGUUUCUAAAUUCAGCUAUGAGGAGAUGAUUAAUUGUCAUGAUUCAAGGGGAAAGAACUAAGGCCGUGAACAAGGUCUAAGACUAGACCGAAACGUGGGCCAGUGGCUAUUACUUUUGGAUGGAUAUACAAAAGAAAAAAUAUAUAUAUAAAAAAGAUAUGAAAUAAAAUAAGCAACUACUAAAACAUUUACAGAGUGCCGUGGUCUCUUGAUGAAAUGUGUCUUGACCAGCAACCUAGCGGUUCUUGAAUGGUUGACUCGGUCAUCCACUCAUAGGCCAGAGAAGUAUAUAUGCUGUAGGCUCAGCUCCACUAUAUAGC
This is an RNA transcript of Bufo gargarizans (Asiatic toad), 4881 nucleotides long. It is a transcript of the gene named fms related receptor tyrosine kinase 3 ligand, with no coding region annotated. The record is from RefSeq and is a predicted model, not a curated record. The transcript is spliced from 5 exons. Lineage: Eukaryota; Metazoa; Chordata; Amphibia; Anura; Bufonidae.